This 113-nucleotide ribosomal RNA is filed under the name uncultured eukaryote. RNAcentral's name for it is "partial small subunit ribosomal RNA". It matches the Rfam family "Eukaryotic small subunit ribosomal RNA", at positions 1676 to 1794 of the family's 1831-position model. The record is from RNAcentral.
UCGUUGCAAUCGAUCGGUUCAAUGCUAGAGGUCUUCUGGAGGCGAUCGUGGUCUCUGACUGCAGUCGCUGAAGUUGAUCAAUAGCAUUGAACUAGAGAAUGCAAAAGUCGUAA